UAUAUAUAUAUAUAUAGAGAGAGAGAGAGAGAGAGAGAGAGAGGAAGAGAUUUUUUGGGUAAAGGGUAGAUGUUGGAUUAUGUAAAAUUAUAUUCUGAGUCAAUACUACGGUGAAAAUGUCGAAGAUUUAAAAUUUCUAGAUGCGCGAUACUAGAAUUUGAAGUUUGAGUACCGGUAUUAAAAAGUGUCUCAGAAAUUUCUCAAAACCCCAAUAUAGUGCGAGCUACUGUGCUAUCGGAAAUAUAAAGGAUUUGAUACUUCCGAUUUUUGAACAUUUGGAUUAAGAAUUAUACGAUUGAGUGAUUGCGGUCCCUCAGGGUUGAAUAGUACCUCUAAGAUUUAGUUAUCCCCACAGAGUAAUAGUAUUAAUCCAAAGAUAAGAAAUAAUUAAAAGGGUUGAUCUAAGGGCCAAAAUGUCGGAAGCACCAGAUGCUCUAUGCUUCCGAUAAUAUAGUAGCUCAUAUAUAUAUAUAUAUAUAUAUAGAGCAGGGCUGCUGUGCUCUUAGGAGCACGAAGGCCUCCGUGCUCCUGAGCCGUUUUCGAUGAUGGAAUUUCCGAAUCGACGAUCGGCUCCGUUAGACUUGAUCUAGCGUAUUUGAAGUUUCUAGAAAAUAAUUUUUGUAAUUUUUCGAUAUCAUGUAUCUAGCAAUCGAAAAGAUUCAAAAUCAAUAAUUUUUAGCGACUGAAAAUAAAAAUUCUAUAAAAAAUAGUGAUAUAGCACUAAAAUUUUCGAUCAGAAAUAUUGGUCUUGUUGUAAAUAGUAUAAAAAAUUUUGUAUCAAAAUUUCAUCUGAUUUGAAUACUUUUACACCGUUAAACUUGCAAACGGCAGAUAUCAUCCAUUAAAAAUUAUUGAUUUUGAAUCCUUUCGAUCACUAGGUAAAUAAUGUCAAAAAAUCACAAAAAUUAUUUUUUAGAAACUUUAAAUACGCUAGAUCAAGUCUAACGGACCCGAUCGUCGAUUCGGAAAUUCCAUCAUCGAAAACAGCUUAGGAGCACGGAGGCCUCCGUGCUCCUGAGAGUACAGCAGCCCUGCUCUCUCUCUCUCUCUCUCUCUCUCUCUCUCUCUCUCUCUCUAUAUAUAUAUAUAUAUAUAUAUAUAAUUUUU
RNAcentral lists this long non-coding RNA (1107 nucleotides) under Ananas comosus (pineapple). Its description in RNAcentral is "long non-coding RNA (ACOM_LNC021996)". The record is from RNAcentral. Lineage: Eukaryota; Viridiplantae; Streptophyta; Magnoliopsida; Poales; Bromeliaceae.